This 545-nucleotide ribosomal RNA is filed under the name uncultured bacterium. RNAcentral's name for it is "partial 16S ribosomal RNA". It matches the Rfam family "Bacterial small subunit ribosomal RNA", at positions 29 to 705 of the family's 1533-position model. The record is from RNAcentral.
AUGAAUGCUUUUGGUAUGCUUUAACAUGCUAGUACUUUUUAAAGUGCGAAUAGGUGAGUAAAAAUUAAGAAUUUUUAAACUUUUAAAAAGCUUAAUUAAGAUUAGAUAGUUGGUUUUUUAAUAGAUAACCAAGUCUAUAAUCUUUAGCAAGUUUGAAAAAAUAAUUUGCCACACUGGGACUGAGAUAAGGCCCAGACUCUUAUGAGGCAGCAGUGAGGAAUAUUGGACAAUGAACUAACGUUUGAUCCAGCAAUACCAAGUGGGUGAUGAAAGCUGUUUUUAGUUGUAAAACCUGAAUAUAAAAGAAAAAAUGAUUCUUUUAUUGAUUUAGUCCUGGCUAAUUAUGUGCCAGCAGCAGCGGUAAUACAUAAAGGGCAAGCAUUAAUUGGAUUUAUUUGGCGUAAAGCGUUUGUAGGUUGUUUUGUUUGUUAAUUUUAAAUAUAAAAAGCUUAACUUUAAAAAGAGUUAAAACAACAAAAACUUGAGUACAACAUAGGUAAAUAGAACUUCUAAGGUACGGUUAAAAUUGGUUGAUCUUGGAAAGA